RNAcentral lists this ribosomal RNA (522 nucleotides) under uncultured bacterium. RNAcentral's name for it is "bacterial SSU rRNA". It matches the Rfam family "Bacterial small subunit ribosomal RNA", at positions 777 to 1297 of the family's 1533-position model. The record is from RNAcentral.
AAUAGAUACCCCGGUAGUCCACGCCGUAAACGAUGAGUGCUAAGUGUUAGAGGGUUUCCGCCCUUUAGUGCUGCAGCUAACGCAUUAAGCACUCCGCCUGGGGAGUACGGCCGCAAGGCUGAAACUCAAAGGAAUUGACGGGGGCCCGCACAAGCGGUGGAGCAUGUGGUUUAAUUCGAAGCAACGCGAAGAACCUUACCAGGUCUUGACAUCCUCUGCCAACCCUAGAGAUAGGGUGUUCCCCUUCGGGGGACAGAGUGACAGGUGGUGCAUGGUUGUCGUCAGCUCGUGUCGUGAGAUGUUGGGUUAAGUCCCGCAACGAGCGCAACCCUUGAUCUUAGUUGCCAGCAUUUAGUUGGGCACUCUAAGGUGACUGCCGGUGACAAACCGGAGGAAGGUGGGGAUGACGUCAAAUCAUCAUGCCCCUUAUGACCUGGGCUACACACGUGCUACAAUGGAUGGUACAAAGAGCUGCGAACCCGCGAGGGUAAGCGAAUCUCAUAAAGCCAUUCUCAGUUCGGA